Non-coding RNA from Acanthosepion pharaonis, 99 nucleotides. The record is from the annotation of a GenBank genome assembly. Lineage: Eukaryota; Metazoa; Mollusca; Cephalopoda; Sepiida; Sepiidae.
GGCCAUAUCACGUUAAACACCGGCUCCCGUGCGAUCACCGAAGUUGAGCUACGUCAGGCCUGGUCAGUAACUAGAUGGGCGACCACUUGGAAUACGGGG